RNAcentral lists this long non-coding RNA (4731 nucleotides) under Homo sapiens (human). RNAcentral describes it as "non-protein coding lnc-ANXA2R-1:23". Lineage: Eukaryota; Metazoa; Chordata; Mammalia; Primates; Hominidae. The record is from RNAcentral.
UCCUGAUCCGCCCGCCUCGGCCUCCCAAAGUGCUGGGAUUACAGGCGUGAGCCACCGCGCCCGGCCGGUACUCCGAAGCCCUCAGAUCGGCGACCUGGGCGCUGUAGGCACCGAGAAAAUACAGGCACCGAGCCAGAAGCAGUGCCGCAACCAAGAGACCUCGGCUUGGCGAAAUGGCGGCGUCUGGAGCCUGCGAGUGACGCCAGCUGGUGGGGCUGUCAAGGAGAACAUUCGUUACGGCGCAACCAACGGUACUGUCACCAAGAAACCGUCGUCUCUGAGAAAAAAAGAGACGUUCGGCCGCCGAGAAACUCCGUACAAGUGCUGUGACAGAAAAACCGCCGGCUCCGCGCAGCGGCAAAAGAGCCAACGGGAACGCCGGGUGCUGCGACCAUGACCCCGGCACUGGAGGACGUGGGAUGGAGAAUGGGACACACGGAGCGAGAAGGGAAACGUUUCGUGCAGACCAACUAGCGCCGCCGCCACCGGAAAACUGACUCGCCAGUGCUGCCAAUGAAGUGCGUGUGAGAAACCGAUGACUGGUGGGAGGAGCAGCGCUGGGCGCUGGACCCGCGAGUGUGAGAAUCUGGCGGCGCUAGGACCCUUCAGGCGCGGGCACGAGGCGAAACCCAGCGCUGUUGCCAAAGACAAAUGCGCGUUCUUUUGGGCGCCAUCAGCGGUGCAGCCAGUGAUCACUCCCAGGCUCUGAGAAACUAGAGAUGUCAGCCACAAACCCUCCGUUCAGGGAAAGUUUGCGGCGCCGUGACGGAUCGACUGGCACUGGGUGCAACAUUGUCUUGUGGCCUAGAGACUAGAAUAUAAAAACAAAAACCAAAUACAAAACUGCUGCUGGCAUUACUCCUACUCUCCCCCCUCAAGUCAGUGGCUUCAGGCUUAAGAAAACCUGUAUUUUUCUUGGCUGUGCCAUAAUCCGUAAUUACCGAGGCCCCCAGCGACCCACCCAGUGUGAUUCGCAGAGGGAAAGGAGCUGGAAUAAGGACCGUGAAUGGGGCGGAUGUGGCUCGUCCUGGGAGAGAGCUAAAGCUUAUGCUGGUCGCAAACAGCAUUACAUUGCAGGAAACUGCUCUUCCAAUGGCCGUGGCUGGGUCCUUCCACACCAUCCCUCUGCCCUAGACCUUUGUCCCCGUUCAGAGCCAUCAGAGAUUCUAGGAGAGCUGUCGACAACCGCAUCUCUUCGGAACUUGGAAACUCUAGGUUCAAGAUCUCCGUGGAGAAUGAAAGGCACAGUCGCCUGACCCGGGCAUCAGGCUUGCCCCGCACAUCAAGUCCCUCCCCUACUGGAUGGAACUCUGUGGCAAUCGCUCCUUAUUCUGAUGGUUCACUCUGUCAGAUAUCCUCGAUAUUUGGGGAUAGUAGUUCAAAAACAGCCGGGGAGGAAAAUGGGCUGAAAGAUUCCAGCGUUGGAUGUAGAAUUGACAGCGAGACAUACACCUCCUCUCUAAGCCCAGAGAAAAGCUCAAGUUGUGGUUCUCUGUCUCUAGCAGCAUGAUCUUCAAAAUGCAUCAUUGAUUUCUAUCUUCUGGGAAAUGCAAUGCAGGUGAACUUGUAAGUGCUCAAAUCCUCCAUCUCCUCACUUUUCAGACUGAGGCCUUUUUUUUUUUAAAUCUGAGAAGAAAUAUGGGACUGCCACUGCUCAGUAGGAAAAUGUCCUUUCCCACAAGCAUUUAUAUUUUAAUAAAAAUCUGCACUUUGUGAGUUGAGCCCCCUCAAAGAGACCUACAAACCCUGCCACAAAUAUCUCCAACCACACUCAUCAUUUCCGAUUUUCAUCACUGCUGCUCCUGUGCAAACCAAACUAUCCUUUCCCUGGGGCAUCCUAGGUAGAGGCCAUGCCAGGACAAAGGCAGAGAUAUGCCUGCCUGGUAAGGAAAUCCAUUUUGGCCUUGUAAUUCUCACCCUCUCCCAAGAUGUUUGCCUCAAUAUCUCCUUCCCACCUUACCCCGUCUUCAGCUAGCCAAAACAUUCCCUGGUAUUUGAGGCCCUUCCAAUUUCCUCCUGGUUUUGUGGGUGGGAGAAUAAAGAAAAAACUGCACUGUUCCCACCCACAUAGUUACAGCCACUUUAUCAAACGGAAGAGCAGUCUGGAGCCAUUGCAAAACAAAAUACCUGCCACAACUCCUCUCUUCUCAUUUCGACUCCAGCUUUUCAUCUUAGCAAAAAAGUUGCAAUCAGCACCCCCUAGACGGAAGGAAUAUCCUGUCUUAAUGGGAGUCCAUAGGAGGCUGCAGGCUGCUCCCCUACAGAGACUAACAUCAAGGAGGAAAUCAGUGGUGCUUCAGGAUAUUGUGAAUUUGGUCUUCUGAAAGCAGAAUUCUGAUUUAACAGUAUAAUGGAAUUCGUGAACGUCAUGAUGCUAAUUUGAACCAACAAGCACCCUUGUGAGAGGAAUCUGCUUUUCCUCAAGUCUGAAGAACACCAGGAGAAUCUUUCUGUAUGGAGUUACCAGGAAUCCUCUGCUAAGGAAAGUGAAAGGGAAGAUGCAAUUUCUCCUGGGAAGGGGGGAUGCUGAUGUAGAGGGUGACAAGUAAUAUGCCAUGAAGGAUUCAGUCACCUGGUUAGAUUUAGAGUUAGAGUUAUGGUUAAGGAAGAAGGAAGGAAAAAAGGCAGAAGAGGAAGAAAGGAAGCAAGAAAAGAUAAAAUUUAUUCUAAGAUAAAAUUUGUGAAUUUUGCUAAACUAUAUAUAUUUAUUUAUUUAUUUAUUUUAUUUAUUUAUUUAUUUUUGCUGUCAUUAGCCAAGAUAAGGAAUCUUCAAGUUGAGUAAGACUGGAUUUAGAAUUGUCUGGGGGCUUUCAAAAGAGCCAUUCAGUAAAUAAGAAAGAAUACAGGCCUGCAGCACCAGAGUCUGAGCUGGGGGCAUAGGUUUGUGUGAAUUUGGGCAUGGUGGCUCAGGUCUGUAAUCCCAGCACUUUGGGAGGCUGAAGUUGAGGACUGCUUGAGCUCAGGAGUCUGAGACCACCCUGGGCAACAUGGGGAGACCCCAUCUCUACAAAAAAAUAAAAAAUAUUAACCCAAGGUGGUGGCAUGCACCUUGCUGCCAGCUACUGUGGAGGCUGAGGUGAGAGGAUUGUUUAAGUCCAGGAUGUUGAGACUGCAGUGAGCCCUGUUUGUGGCACUGCACUCCUGCCUGGUCCACAGAGGGAGACUCUGUCUGAAGGUGGGGAAAGAAAAGAUUUGUAUGAAUUUGGUGCUGCUUUGUAUUUCAAAAUAGGAAAGUGGAUAUACGAAUAUAUGGCAUAAAAGGUCCAGAUACUGGACCCCAGUGAACUCAAUUGUUUUCAAGGUCUGACUUUAACCUUGCUAGGCUGAAGAAUCUGGAAUGGCUCAGAUGUUUCUAGUUCAGCUGUAACUUUUGCCUCCUUUAGAGUAAAGCUGUGGGGGACUUGAGUAUACUCAGAGUGGAUCUGAGAGGUAUCUGCUUCCAGAAUGAAUUAGAAUUCCUGGAUUUGAAUCAUAAUCAGAUGGCUGUUAAGGGGUUAUUGAAGACAUAUGGCUCUUAAGUUCACAAUAUUGAAUUCAGGUGAAUAUUAUAAAUAUUUGUAAGUUGGAUUAUAUUAUUGAAGCACUUGGUAAAAAUUGCCAUGCAGGGAUAAAUGUAGGAAGGGGAUUGCAGAGUCUGAUAUCUAAAAAAUAAGUGGAGCAGCAUUUGGAAACCCCGUUCACAUUUUCAAUCUCUUUUCUCUCAUUAGAACCUAACUGCUAUCCUCUAAUCCCUACUUUUGAAAAAAUGUAUUUAAGGCUGGGCGUGGUGGCUCACGCCUGUAAUCCCAGCACUUUGGAAGGCCGAAGUGGGUGGAUCACGAGGUCAGGAGAUCGAGACCAUCCUGGCUAACAUGGUGAAACCCCAUCUCUACUAAAAAUACAAAAAAUUAGCCGGGCGUUGUGGUGGGCACCUGUAGUCCUAGCUACUCGGGAGGCUGAGGCAGGAGAAUGGCGUGAACCCAGGAGGCAGAGCUUGUAGUGAGCUGAGAUCGCGCCACUGCACUCCAGCCUGGGCGACAGAGCGAGACUCCGUCUCAGAAAAAAAAAAAAAGAAAAAAUGUAUUUAAAAACUCAGCAAACAUUAAUGGAGAUAUUCCAAGAGCCAGGCUCCUGGUUCCAAGACCCCACUCAGAGGACUAAGCUCAAAUCUAAUAAGAUGUGUAGGCUUGGGGCCAGUGGGGCGAGGGGAUAUCCACAGGAGGGCCAAUCGAACAAGGCCUCAGACUCAUGAGCCUCAAAUGUAGAUGUUAGAUUUUUCCUCCAAUUGAGAUUAUACAUACAGCCACAGAGCUUCAUGGAUGCAAAUGAAAAUGGUCAUGUCUCAACUUUUAAACUGUGCUCAAUUAGAGGAACUCAUUGCCUAUGGCAUAGUGUCAUGUAAUAAAAUGGUUUUUUUGUUGUCUAAUCUUGUAGUUAGUACAGUGAUAGUACAUUGGGUUUUUGUGUUAAAAGAAGUCAUUUGUUAUCCCAGCACUUUGGGAGGCCGAGGCAGGCAGAUCACCUGAGGUCAGGAGUUCAAGACCAGCCUGACCAACAUGAUGAGACCCCAUCUCUACUGAAUUAGCCAGGCAUGGUGGCGCAUGCCUGUAAUCCCAGUUACUCGGGAGGCUCAGGCAGGAGAAUCGCUUGAAUCGGGAGGCAGCGAUUGCCGUGAGCCAAAAUUGCGCCACUGCAGUCCAGCUUGGGCAACAAGAGCAAAACUCUGUCUCAAAAAAAAAAAAAAAAAAAAAA